Molecule: long non-coding RNA, 692 nt
Organism: Zingiber officinale
Lineage: Eukaryota; Viridiplantae; Streptophyta; Magnoliopsida; Zingiberales; Zingiberaceae
Exons: 3
Source: RefSeq, a predicted model, not a curated record
ACCGACGCACCUUCUCUUCUUGGCGACUGAAUUAGGUCACGGAUUGGAGGGGAUCAGUGAGUUGUGCUUGGGUUUUCGGGUGGAGACCAGAGGAGUUGUGCUGGAUCAGUAAUCUUUCAGCUUGAUUCCAAUCUUGAUCCGAUCGGUGAGCAGCUCACCUGGGUUUCGGCAGAACCUCCCUCCAGCAGCAUCUUGUUUCAACAGCAACUUGAUUAGAGCAAUGAGGUUCUGUUGCUGUGCUGUUGACAAAGGUUUUGGAUCAGUGAGGUGAUUUCCAGCAGCAUUCCUUGAUCCAGCAAUCAACAGGGGCUGUGAAUCGAGGACUCUGAUUCGAGACAGACGUCUCGACGUUGGAUUUGGCGUGAUACUUCCUGCUAUUUGAGGCGGGUACCCUUUGACUUAUCUUGUUGAUAUUGUCUUGUGAUAUGUGCAGUUUAUAUAUGUUUACUAGUAAUUGGUAGAUCUUUCUCUUCUCUGGUUAUAGUUUAUUCUAUACCUGUAGGCGAUUAUUAGCGAUUGGUAGUUAGCAUAUUCCCUGGUUUAGUUAUUUGAUACUUGAUACAUGUGGCUACGAUUAGCAUCUAUACCUUAGUCUAGCAUGCUUUUCUUUCUUGCUAUGCUUAUCUGUGUUCAUAGAGAUGCAUAUCUAUAGCGCUCUACUCUACUGGAUUAGUUGCUUUACAUGUGUGAUA